This is a long non-coding RNA of Cheilinus undulatus (humphead wrasse), 769 nucleotides long. RefSeq lists it as uncharacterized. NCBI's taxonomy places the organism in Eukaryota, Metazoa, Chordata, Actinopteri, Labriformes, Labridae. The record is from RefSeq and is a predicted model, not a curated record. The transcript is spliced from 4 exons.
CUCCAGGAGGGAAUAGGAACGUGCGCUGGGUGAUAUUGCAUGGAUAUAGCCCACCUGUCAAUCAAAGCCACUUAAAGGGGAGCGGCGAGGGAAACACUGACAACCAGGGAGGAAGAGAGAGAGCAGGGCACAAAGGAGACACACAUACAUUUAGAGGAGAUGGAGGAGGGUGGAAGCAGAGGCAAAGGAGAGAGAGGAGACGGGGCAGGCCUCCAGCCUCUCUGCUGUCCACAGAAAGCCUGUUUGUUUAGAGGAAAUGACACGUGCUGCCGCCGAGGAAAUGAUCUGCUUGGCCCCAUGUUAAACACCGAGUUGGUCUCCAGAGUUGCAAAGCCAUCCAGGGGCGCAGUGGGAUCAAGUUAAACCCAGCAGGAUGCUCUUGGCCAGGCAUCAGUAUGCACCACCAUGGCCUCUGUGCUCUGGAUUUCGUCAGGAGACUGUAGGUGUGAGUGUGUGAUUUGUAAUCACAUCAGAUGCAAGGACCAAUUGUCGACCGCCAUCAAGUCUGUCGGUAAAGUCUCAGCACAAGAUUAUGGCCCAUUGAUCACCUAGUCUGGCAUAAUGACCAUCAUAACAGACAAAAAAAUCAAGUAGUCUGACCACAUCUUUAACCACACAGACCUUUCCUCUGUGCAUGUGGCUUUGAUCACUGCCUAUGCUCAGGUGCAGAGAUGAUGUAAGGGCUGCAGCAAUGCUUAUAUGGAAUUUUUUUGUUACCACAACAUGCAUUUUAGCUCACAUCAAACUAGAGGCAAAUUUUUUUGUUAAA